GUCUACGGCCAAACCACCGUGAACGCGCCCGAUCUCGUCUGAUCUCGGAAGCUAAGCAGGGUCGGGCCUGGUUAGUACUUGGAUGGAAGAAUACCUUUAUAGAGGUGGUGAUU
Molecule: ribosomal RNA, 113 nt
Filed under: Neogale vison (American mink)
Lineage: Eukaryota; Metazoa; Chordata; Mammalia; Carnivora; Mustelidae
Source: RNAcentral